AAACCCUCACUUUCCCUCAGCUUGCUAGGGUUUCCAUUUUCAAAUCCCCACCAUCCUCCUUCUGGAUCCCCAAAUUUCAGAUCCUCAAUUUUCAAUUUUCAAAUCCCAAGAUCUGGCUGACGGUUUGGGCUCGUCCUCUGCUCUACAUUAUACACCCUCUUUUGUUUCGUGUCUCCCAAUUUCAAUAAGCAACUAAUCAGAGAGCUUUUUGGUAAGUAAAUAAUCAGAGAAGGUUUCACAGAAGAGAGAGACACAAUGACGACUCGAAUAGCUCUGGGAGUCGGAGCUAACUUGCUCGGUCAACACACCGCGAGAGAAACCAGGACGCCAUUGCUGACGUCGGCAAUCUCGACCCUCAGGUUAGUGAAGAAUUGCUGUGGGAGCAAUUUGUUCGAGCCGGUCCUAUUGUUAAUGUGUAUGUUCCUAAAGAUAGAGUUAUGAACCUCCAUCAAGGAUAUAGAUUCGUGGAGUUCCGAAGUGAAGAGGAUGUUGAUUACAUAAGUUUUCCUAUUCUCAAGUUAUUAUAUAGCUCCCCGAUUCCUGUUAAAGAUGUUGUUUCUGACUAUAAAUUUGUUGUUUUGACUGCCAUGCCUACACUCAAGGUGCUUAAUAUGAUCAACCUUUACGGAAAGGCAAUUCG
This is a long non-coding RNA of Rosa chinensis, 640 nucleotides long. RefSeq lists it as uncharacterized. The record is from RefSeq and is a predicted model, not a curated record. NCBI's taxonomy places the organism in Eukaryota, Viridiplantae, Streptophyta, Magnoliopsida, Rosales, Rosaceae. The transcript is spliced from 3 exons.